CGGGGGCGGAUAUGAUACAAUUGUCUCGUUAUGAAACAGGGCAAACGCGCACUCUGGUAUGCGGAUAUGCGGGUCCUGUGCGACAGGGCGCCGUGAACCAUGUCAGGCGGGGAACCGAGCAGCAUUAAGCGGGUCGUCUUGUGUGCCGCAGAUCAACCUGUGUGUCCGCAUACCACAGUGUACGGGCCCUG
RNAcentral lists this unclassified non-coding RNA (191 nucleotides) under Bittarella massiliensis (ex Durand et al. 2017). Its description in RNAcentral is "Bittarella massiliensis Bacterial large signal recognition particle RNA". The stretch from base 67 to 166 matches the Rfam family "Bacterial small signal recognition particle RNA". Rfam says of the family: The signal recognition particle (SRP) is a universally conserved ribonucleoprotein involved in the co-translational targeting of proteins to membranes. Archaeal SRP consists of a 7S RNA and homologues of the eukaryotic SRP19 and SRP54 proteins. Lineage: Bacteria; Bacillati; Bacillota; Clostridia; Eubacteriales; Oscillospiraceae. The record is from RNAcentral.